This 447-nucleotide ribosomal RNA is filed under the name uncultured bacterium. Its description in RNAcentral is "bacterial SSU rRNA". It matches the Rfam family "Bacterial small subunit ribosomal RNA", at positions 338 to 795 of the family's 1533-position model. The record is from RNAcentral.
CCUACGGGUGGCUGCAGUCGAGAAUCUUCCGCAAUGGGCGAAAGCCUGACGGAGCGACGCCGCGUGCGGGAUGAAGGCCCUUGGGUUGUAAACCGCUGUCAGGGGGGAUGAAAGCGUAAGCUUGACAGAGCCCCAGAGGAAGCACGGGCUAAGUUCGUGCCAGCAGCCGCGGUAAGACGAACUGUGCGAACGUUAUUCGGAAUCACUGGGCUUACAGGGUGCGUAGGCGGCUUGUUAAGUAGGGUGUGAAAUCCCCCGGCCCAACCGGGGAAUGGCGCUCUAAACUAGCAGGCUUGAGUGAGCUAGGGGUGCACGGAACUUCCAGUGGAGCGGUGAAAUGUGUUGAUAUUGGAAGGAACACCGGAGGCGAAAGCGGUGCACUGGGGCUUAACUGACGCUGAGGCACGAAAGCCAGGGGAGCGAACGGGAUUAGAUACCCUUGUAGUC